GCGGACGGGUGAGUAACACGUAGGCAACCUGCCCGUAAGACCGGGAUAACAUAGGGAAACUUAUGCUAAUACCGGAUAGGGCAUUCUCUCGCAUGAGAGAAUGCGGAAAGGUGGCGCAAGCUACCACUUACGGAUGGGCCUGCGGCGCAUUAGCUAGUUGGUGGGGUAACGGCCUACCAAGGCGACGAUGCGUAGCCGACCUGAGAGGGUGACCGGCCACACUGGGACUGAGACACGGCCCAGACUCCUACGGGAGGCAGCAGUAGGGAAUUUUCCACAAUGGGCGAAAGCCUGAUGGAGCAACGCCGCGUGAACGAUGAAGGCCUUCGGGUUGUAAAGUUCUGUUGUUAGGGACGAACAAGUGCCGUUCGAAUAGGGCGGCACCCUGACGGUACCUAACGAGGAAGCCACGGCUAACUACGUGCCAGCAGCCGCGGUAAUACGUAGGUGGCAAGCGUUGUCCGGAAUUAUUGGGCGUAAAGCGCGCGCAGGCGGUUAUGUAAGUCUGAUGUUAAAGCCCGGGGCUCAACCCCGGUUCGCAUUGGAAACUGCGUAACUUGAGUGCAGAAGAGGAAAGCGGUAUUCCACGUGUAGCGGUGAAAUGCGUAGAGAUGUGGAGGAACACCAGUGGCGAAGGCGGCUUUCUGGUCUGUAACUGACGCUGAGGCGCGAAAGCGUGGGGAGCAAACAGGA
Molecule: ribosomal RNA, 693 nt
Filed under: Brevibacillus invocatus
Lineage: Bacteria; Bacillati; Bacillota; Bacilli; Caryophanales; Paenibacillaceae
Description: bacterial SSU rRNA
Rfam family: Bacterial small subunit ribosomal RNA
Source: RNAcentral